Molecule: long non-coding RNA, 668 nt
Filed under: Physcomitrium patens
Lineage: Eukaryota; Viridiplantae; Streptophyta; Bryopsida; Funariales; Funariaceae
Description: long non-coding RNA (PPAT_LNC000425)
Source: RNAcentral
CUUGCUUUACAAAGUAUAAAUGCGUAGUACAAGUUGGACACAUAUUAAAGAUCCUAUAGCAUGUCAUUACAUAGUUCUUAAUUAAGUAGUAUAUAUAAAAGCAAGAGUGAAGCCUUCCUUACUUGCUUUUAGUCUAAUUUUAAGAAUCUUGUAUUGUCGUAAUACAUGCAAUUUUGCUUGAAAAUGCUCCUGGCACCUAGCUGUAGAAGUUAGAAUGGAAAUUGCAACAAUAAAAUCCUAACUCUAAUAGAAUAUUAACUAAAUUCUAAUUAGAUCAUAACAAUGCUAAGUAAGCUUUAAUCAAAUUUAAAGAAACCUCAAAAUCCUAAAAUCCUAAAUCCUAAAUCAAAAUCCUAAAACCUCUAAAUCCUAAAUCAAAGUCUAACAAAACCCUAAAUCAAACCCUAAUCAAAUCCUAAAUCUUAAAUCAAAAUCUAAUCAAAUCCUAAAUCAAAUCCUAAUCAAAUCCUAAACCCUAAAUCUAACCCUAAAUCAAAUCUUAAACCUUAAAUCAAAUCCUAACCUCUAAACUAAAUCUUAAAUCCUAAAUCAAAUCCUAACCAAAUAUUAAUCCUAAAUAAAACCCUAAUCAAAUCCUAAAUCCUAAUCCUAAAUCAAAUCCUAAUCAAAUCCUAACCCUAAAUCAAGCCCUAACCAAAUCCUAACCA